GCCGGGCGUAGUGGCGGGCGCCUGUAAUCCCAGCUACUUGGGAGGCUGAGGCAGGAGAAUCGCUUGAACCCAGGAGGUGGAGGUUGCAGUGAGCUGAGAUCACACCACUGCACUCCAGCCUGGGCGACAACGCGAGACUCUGUCUCAA
Molecule: small RNA, 148 nt
Filed under: Macaca mulatta (Rhesus monkey)
Lineage: Eukaryota; Metazoa; Chordata; Mammalia; Primates; Cercopithecidae
Description: Metazoan signal recognition particle RNA (ENSMMUG00000060869.1)
Source: Rfam by way of RNAcentral